Long non-coding RNA from Salvia miltiorrhiza (redroot sage), 435 nucleotides. RefSeq lists it as uncharacterized. NCBI's taxonomy places the organism in Eukaryota, Viridiplantae, Streptophyta, Magnoliopsida, Lamiales, Lamiaceae. The transcript is spliced from 3 exons. The record is from RefSeq and is a predicted model, not a curated record.
UAUCUCCAUUGUUGAGGAGUUGGAGCUUUUGAGCUCCGUUUUGAGCGAGAAGACGAGCCCCGAUCAUCUUUUCGAACACGUAUCUAAGUAGGUCCUUUUGGGAAGUAACGACUUGAGGGAGAGAGUGACGUUACUCAUUGAUACAGAGACACAACGAGGUUGAGCUGAUGUGAUGAUGGUGCUGCAAUGAGCGGAGUCUCCAGGGUUGUUAAUAAAUAGUUAACCUGUCUAGAAUAUGUCUUCAUACAUAUGUCUAGCUACUUUCCGCUGCAAGAUGUUGUUGAUGUUAUAGUAUGUUAUGUCAUACUUUGAGUCUUAAGAGAAUGGUUUCAUACGAUGUAUAACUUGAUUAAUGAUAUUAAUUAAGUUUUAUGCUGUCUUUCAUAGACUGUUUUCAAUUGAGUAUUAAUGAAUAAAAAUGACGAGUUUUAUUAA